RNAcentral lists this ribosomal RNA (442 nucleotides) under uncultured bacterium. RNAcentral's name for it is "partial 16S ribosomal RNA". It matches the Rfam family "Bacterial small subunit ribosomal RNA", at positions 338 to 795 of the family's 1533-position model. The record is from RNAcentral.
CCUACGGGGGGCUGCAGUGGGGAAUAUUGGGCAAUGGGCGCAAGCCUGACCCAGCAACGCCGCGUGACGGAAGAAGGCUUUCGGGUUGUAAACUUCUUUUAAGAGGGAAGAGCAGAAGACGGUACCUCUUGAAUAAGCCACGGCUAACUACGUGCCAGCAGCCGCGGUAAUACGUAGGUGGCAAGCGUUGUCCGGAUUUACUGGGUGUAAAGGGCGUGUAGCCGGGCUGACAAGUCAGAUGUGAAAUCCCGUGGCUCAACCACGGAACUGCAUUGGAAACUGUCGGUCUUGAGUAUCGGAGAGGCAGGCGGAAUUCCUAGUGGAGUGGUGAAAUGCGUAGAUAUUAGGAGGAACACCAGUGGCGAAGGCGGCCUGCUGGACGACAACUGACGGCGAGGCGCGAAAGCGUGGGGAGCAAACAGGAUUAGAUACCCGAGUAGUC